This 573-nucleotide ribosomal RNA is filed under the name Pseudacris regilla (Pacific treefrog). Its description in RNAcentral is "partial 16S ribosomal RNA". It matches the Rfam family "Bacterial large subunit ribosomal RNA", at positions 1819 to 2597 of the family's 2925-position model. The record is from RNAcentral. Lineage: Eukaryota; Metazoa; Chordata; Amphibia; Anura; Hylidae.
CGCCUCUUGAAUAUACUUAUAAGAGGUCCAGCCUGCCCAGUGACUCUGUUCAACGGCCGCGGUAUCCUAACCGUGCGAAGGUAGCGUAAUCACUUGUUCUUUAAAUAAGGACUAGUAUGAAUGGCACCACGAAGGUUACACUGUCUCCUUUCUCUAAUCAGUGAAACUAAUCUCCCCGUGAAGAAGCGGGGAUUUAAAUAUAAGACGAGAAGACCCUAUGGAGCUUUAAACUAAAUAACACCUUGCUCUUAUAUUUUUAUAUUUGAGAAUACUAACACCUAUUUUAGCUUUAUGAUUUUUAGUUUUAGGUUGGGGUGACCGCGGAGCAAAACAAAACCUCCACAUUGAAUGGGGUUACAUACCCUGAGCAACGAGCUACAACUCUACGCACCAAUAAAUUGACAUAAAUUGACCCAAUAUUUUGAUCAACGAACCAAGUUACCCUAGGGAUAACAGCGCAAUCCGCUUCAAGAGCUCCUAUCGACAAGCGGGUUUACGACCUCGAUGUUGGAUCAGGGUAUCCCAGUGGUGUAGCCGCUACUAAAGGUUCGUUUGUUCAACGAUCAAAACCCU